Molecule: RNA transcript, 677 nt
Organism: Phycodurus eques (leafy seadragon)
Lineage: Eukaryota; Metazoa; Chordata; Actinopteri; Syngnathiformes; Syngnathidae
Gene: ptpn18
Gene name: protein tyrosine phosphatase non-receptor type 18
Exons: 5
Source: RefSeq, a predicted model, not a curated record
GAAAAUAGGAAGCAACACUUCCUCUAUGUAAAUUAUACCGUUGGAGAGAAGUGAAUCUUCUGUUUUGUUGGACUUCACUUUUUAAUCUUUGAAGCACGACGAGCAUGGAGAACACAGUCAACUAACGGACAGCAAAUUGAAUGAGAGACGACAUGAGUGACAUGACGUACGCUGUGGUCAACAAACCCAAACAGCCACACCCACCGUCUGAAAACAGAACACUGCAUGGCUCCCAUCACUAUGACAACGAGCCACAGCCCACAACAGCGCCGUUGUACAGCAUGGUUGGAACUCCGGAGGGCGCUGUGAACUCAGUUUGUACUGCCAAACGCACGGCGGUAUUGGCAGGAUUAGCGAUUAGCGCUAGUGCGGAACAGGUUUCAGGCACACACAACGAUUACGAAGACUUUUCCACCUCGGUGACAGAUAUGAACGACAUGUGUGUGUGUGACAGCCUAGGUCAGUGGAUAUUCUACAAAUGUUUUCCAAGCUAGGCGGAAAGAGAAUUUAAUUGCCGGGUUCAGAAGCCAAGCGGACCCAGACCACCACCUGCUGGCUGGACAUGACAGGUGGCCACCAAGCACAAUUGGACGUGUUCGUAAUUUGUACUAUAUAUGUUUGUUCUUGUCUAAAUUAAAACAAAUUAUCAAGUACUUGUCUGAAACAUGAAUUUAGAG